Molecule: non-coding RNA, 507 nt
Organism: Poecilia reticulata (guppy)
Lineage: Eukaryota; Metazoa; Chordata; Actinopteri; Cyprinodontiformes; Poeciliidae
Source: RefSeq, a predicted model, not a curated record
GGUUCUGGGGGUCUUUUCUUAGCUUUGGGUUGCUGAGUUGUCUCCCCACCAGAUGGAGUCUGAGAGGUGGCGGGCUGUGGGUUCCUGGAUGACGUCAUCCUCACAUCUGUGGCGGAUUACCUAAUUGACGGCAGCAUAAGAGGGGUGGAACGCCGGUACUUCGACGCCAGAGUGUCAACCGUUGAUGGAUCCGCCCUGAUCUGGUUGCCUGCUGUACCAGUUACCCAGCCACGACGUCUUGGGUAGCCUCCCCUAUAUGCCUGACAAACAAGACUCAUCAGUUUCCGUAACUCCAUUACCUCUCAGAAGUUUCCGACCGGCCGUUCCCCCCUACUACCCGCCGCCUUCAGAGACAAAACCUCCUGUCCGCCCUCCAACGCCACUUUCCAACCCACCACGCCUCACGCAGAGACCCCUGAACCUACCACUCCCCCUCCAAGCCGUUUGAACGCACAGAGCCAUACCCCGAGAGCAGCCGAGCAGUUCCUGGACCAGCUUCACUUUCUG